This 373-nucleotide ribosomal RNA is filed under the name uncultured organism. RNAcentral describes it as "partial 16S ribosomal RNA". It matches the Rfam family "Bacterial small subunit ribosomal RNA", at positions 527 to 896 of the family's 1533-position model. The record is from RNAcentral.
GUAGGUGGCAAGCGUUGUCCGGAAUUAUUGGGCGUAAAGCGCGCGCAGGCGGUUCUUUAAGUCUGAUGUGAAAGCCCGCGGGCUCAACCGUGGAGGGUCAUUGGAAACUGGAGAACUUGAGUACAGAAGAGGAAAGCGGAAUUCCACGUGUAGCGGUGAAGUGCGUAGAGAUGUGGAGGAACACCAGUGGCGAAGGCGGCUUUCUGGUCUGUAACUGACGCUGAGGCGCGAAAGCGUGGGGAGCAAACAGGAUUAGAUACCCUGGUAGUCCACGCCGUAAACGAUGAGUGCUAAGUGUUAGGGGGGUUUCCGCCCCUUAGUGCUGCAGCUAACGCAUUAAGCACUCCGCCUGGGGAGUACGGCCGCAAGGCUG